GAUGAAGAACGCAGCGAAAUGCGAUAAGUAAUGUGAAUUGCAGAAUUCAGUGAAUCAUCGAAUCUUUGAACGCAUCUUGCGCUCCUUGGUAUUCCUUGGAGCAUGCCUGUUUGAGUAUCAUGAGCAAAUCUCAAAGUCAAUUCCUUUUGUUAAUUCAAUUGGGUUUUGCUUUGGACUUGGAGGUCUUGCAGAUUUCACAGUCUGCUCCUCUUAAAUGCAUUAGCUGGAUCUCAGUAAUUAUGCUUGGUUCCACUCGGCGUGAUAAGUAUCACUCGCUGAGGACACUGUUAAAAAGGUGGCCAGGAAAAUACUGAUUGAACCGCUUCUAACGGUCUAUUAAGUUAGACAAUUACCCUUAAGUUUGAUCUCAAAUCAGGUAGGACUACCCGCUGAACUUAAGCAUAUCAAUAAGCGGAGGA
RNAcentral lists this unclassified non-coding RNA (419 nucleotides) under soil metagenome. RNAcentral's name for it is "partial contains 5.8S ribosomal RNA, internal transcribed spacer 2, and large subunit ribosomal RNA". The stretch from base 1 to 120 matches the Rfam family "5.8S ribosomal RNA", at positions 35 to 154 of the family's 154-position model. The record is from RNAcentral.